RNAcentral lists this ribosomal RNA (253 nucleotides) under uncultured bacterium. Its description in RNAcentral is "partial 16S ribosomal RNA". It matches the Rfam family "Bacterial small subunit ribosomal RNA", at positions 524 to 776 of the family's 1533-position model. The record is from RNAcentral.
UACGUAGGGUGCAAGCGUUAAUCGGAAUUACUGGGCGUAAAGCGUGCGCAGGCGGUUUUGUAAGUCUGUCGUGAAAGCCCCGGGCUCAACCUGGGAAUUGCAUUUGAGACUGCGUAGCUAGGGUGCGGAAGAGGGAAGCGGAAUUUCCGGUGUAGCGGUGAAAUGCGUAGAUAUCGGAAGGAACACCAGUGGCGAAAGCGGCUUCCUGGUCCAGCACCGACGUUCAGGCACGAAAGCGUGGGGAGCAAACAGG